This 253-nucleotide ribosomal RNA is filed under the name uncultured bacterium. RNAcentral describes it as "partial 16S ribosomal RNA". It matches the Rfam family "Bacterial small subunit ribosomal RNA", at positions 524 to 776 of the family's 1533-position model. The record is from RNAcentral.
UACGAAGGGGGCUAGCGUUGCUCGGAAUCACUGGGCGUAAAGGGCGCGUAGGCGGGUCGUUAAGUUAGAGGUGAAAGCCCAGGGCUCAACCCUGGAAUUGCCUUUGAUACUAGCGGCCUUGAGUAUGGCAGAGGUGUGUGGAACUCCGAGUGUAGAGGUGAAAUUCGUAGAUAUUCGGAAGAACACCAGUGGCGAAGGCGACACACUGGGCCAUUACUGACGCUGAGGCGCGAAAGCGUGGGGAGCAAACAGG